RNAcentral lists this ribosomal RNA (75 nucleotides) under Pectobacterium actinidiae. RNAcentral's name for it is "Pectobacterium carotovorum subsp. actinidiae partial 23S ribosomal RNA". Lineage: Bacteria; Pseudomonadati; Pseudomonadota; Gammaproteobacteria; Enterobacterales; Pectobacteriaceae. The record is from RNAcentral.
UGUAAGCGUAGCGAUACGUUGAGCUGACCAGUACUAAUGACCCGAGAGGCUUAACCUUACAACACCGAAGGUGUU